CAGCCGCCGCGGUAAUACGGAGGGUGCAAGCGUUAUCCGGAUUUAUUGGGUUUAAAGGGUCCGUAGGCGGAUCUGUAAGUCAGUGGUGAAAUCUCACAGCUUAACUGUGAAACUGCCAUUGAUACUGCAGGUCUUGAGUAAAUUUGAAGUGGCUGGAAUAAGUAGUGUAGCGGUGAAAUGCAUAGAUAUUACUUAGAACACCAAUUGCGAAGGCAGGUCACUAAGAUUUAACUGACGCUGAUGGACGAAAGCGUGGGGAGCGAACAGGAUUAGAGACCCCCGUAGUCCCUGUCUCUUAUAC
This 301-nucleotide ribosomal RNA is filed under the name uncultured bacterium. RNAcentral's name for it is "partial 16S ribosomal RNA". It matches the Rfam family "Bacterial small subunit ribosomal RNA", at positions 509 to 807 of the family's 1533-position model. The record is from RNAcentral.